UACGUAGGGGGCGAGCGUUGUCCGGAUUUAUUGGGCGUAAAGAGCUCGUAGGCGGUUGGGUAAGUCGGGUGUGAAAACUCAGGGCUCAACUCUGAGACGCCACUCGAUACUGCCCUGACUCGAGUCCGGUAGGGGAGCGUGGAAUUCCCGGUGUAGCGGUGAAAUGCGCAGAUAUCAGGAGGAACACCAAUAGCGAAGGCAGCUCGCUGGGACGUUACUGACACUGAGGCGCGAAAGCGUGGGGAGCGAACAGG
This 254-nucleotide ribosomal RNA is filed under the name uncultured bacterium. Its description in RNAcentral is "partial 16S ribosomal RNA". It matches the Rfam family "Bacterial small subunit ribosomal RNA", at positions 524 to 776 of the family's 1533-position model. The record is from RNAcentral.